GCCUUUUACCACCUGUUUUGGAUAAGCAAGUUUAAACGCCGUUUCUGUUUAAUUGCGCAGUUUCCACCACGCCGGACUACUGUAACCCUGAUUGCACCAUUCCCGAAGGUCAACCGAUAGUCAUACAUCCCCGGGACAAAGAAAGCCUUCCAUAGGAAGGCUUUCUUUUUUCGUUUAUUACAGUCAGUUCGAGGGGUCAUUGGGAGCAGCCAGACGAGCCAGGCGGUGGCAGCGAGUCAGUGUGGUCUUCAACCCCCCUCAAUCCGGUUCAAGUCAACCGCGGAUCUAAUCUCGCCAACAUCGGGGAAGGCACCCGGCGGCGUGCGUCAUAUGAUCACCGAUUAGACGGAUUCGGAGCGAUUGGCGGUUCUCGGCUGGUGCAGGAAGGAAGCGAUUAUCCGGAGGGACGAAACUAUCCGCUAGGCAGAGCAGCGUCAGAGAACUGCACGCGGUCUCGUGGGUGUCGUCAGUU
Molecule: long non-coding RNA, 472 nt
Organism: Aedes aegypti (yellow fever mosquito)
Lineage: Eukaryota; Metazoa; Arthropoda; Insecta; Diptera; Culicidae
Exons: 2
Source: RefSeq, a predicted model, not a curated record